AUGUCCCAGGGUGAGAAGUGCGACGGACAGACUAUUGACAGGAGCUUUGAGGAAAAGUGUGCCAUAUAUCCCCUAGUCGGGCAGGAGGUGAAGCGGCUCGCUGGAGAGCAUCCUGGUCUCAAAAGCUCCUUCACUGAAUUAGAUGGCAAGAUUGCGCUCUUGAUGGAGAAGGAACUGAAUAAAGUUGCAUGGAAGGAACUGAAGAUCCAGAUUGAGAUGGAUACAAAGGUACAAGCACCGAAGGCAAGGGUGAGGAAAGAGCUUGUCAGUUUGCUGGCAUUGGUUUCUAAGAAAGGAUGA
This 300-nucleotide ribosomal RNA is filed under the name Triticum aestivum (bread wheat). Its description in RNAcentral is "partial small subunit ribosomal RNA". The record is from RNAcentral. Lineage: Eukaryota; Viridiplantae; Streptophyta; Magnoliopsida; Poales; Poaceae.